RNAcentral lists this small RNA (124 nucleotides) under Marmota monax (woodchuck). The record is from RNAcentral. Lineage: Eukaryota; Metazoa; Chordata; Mammalia; Rodentia; Sciuridae.
GCCGGGCAUGUGGCACAAGCCUGUAAUCCCAGGGUCUUGGGAGGCUGAGACAGGAGGAUCCUGAGUUCAAAGCCAGCCUCACCAACGGCAAGGUGCUUAGGAACUCAAUGAGACCCUGUCUCUA